GGGGGCUGGGGUUGUACUAUAGAUGGUGGGUGGAGGGGAUGGAUGGAGGGGAGAAUGAGGGGCUGGGGUUGUACUAUAGAUGGUGGGUGGUGUGGAGGGAGGGAGGGGAUGGAUGGAGGGGAGAAUGAGGGGCUGGGGUUGUACUAUAGAUGGUGGGUGGUGUGGAGGGGAUGGAUGGAGGGGAGAAUGAGGGGCUGGGGUUGUCCUGUUUUUGUCGUUAUAUCUGAAAAUCUCUACAUAAAGUUAAAAAACAAACCAAGAUCAGAGUAACAGCAGCAUAUGAUGAGGGUAAAAGUGUGUGUGUUGGAUUAAGGGAUGGACCCAAUCACCACCAGUCUAACACCGAAGGAUCCAUAUGUGGUUCUGGCUUUAACAAGUCAGGGUCAGGGGUCAGGGGUCAGGGGGGAGGGGGAGAACUCAGCAGCAGACUUGGUUCAUGCCUUAGUUUAUAUUUCUCACAUGAUAUCCUUAUGAAACAUACAUCAUUCUGAAAUACAAUAAAACUAGUGAAAUCAAGACAUGGACCCACAUCAGAAUAAUGUUAGUCAUUCUGUAUAGAAGAGAAACAUGCUGAUUCUGCUCUGAGGGAUUCUAGAACAUGAUGAUUCUGCUCUGAGGGAUUCUAGAACAACAUGAUGAUUCUGCUCUGAAGGAUUCUAGAACAACAUGAUGAUUCUGCUCUGAGGGAUUCUAGAACAACAUGAUGAUUCUGCUCUGAGGGAUUCUAGAACAACAUGAUGAUUCUGCUCUGAGGGAUUCUAGAACAACAUGAUGAUUCUGCUCUGAGGGAUUCUAGAACAACAUGAUGAUUCUGCUCUGAGGGAUUCUAGAACAACAUGAUGAUUCUGCUCUGAGGGGAUUCUAGAACAACAUGAUGAUUCUGCUCUGAGGGAUUCUAGAACAACAUGAUGAUUCUGCUCUGAGGGAUUCUAGAACAACAUGAUGAUUCUGCUCUGAGGGAUUCUAGAACAACAUGCUGAUUCUGCUCUGAGGGAUUCUAGAACAACAUGAUGAUUCUGCUCUGAGGGAUUCUAGAACAACAUGAUGAUUCUGCUCUGAGGGAUUCUAGAACAACAUGAUGAUUCUGCUCUGAGGGAUUCUAGAACAACAUGCUGAUUCUGCUCUGAGGGAUUCUAGAACAACAGGGAAUUCUGUUUCCUUCCUGUUGAUGUACUGUCAGAUGGAAACACUCUAACCCAACAUGUAGAUUCUACUCUGUGAAUGACGAGGUUUGUGGCACAGAUCAUUAUCAUGAAAUAACAGACAACAGUUCACAGUAAACACAGACUAUCAUUGUGCACAACCCUAUACAACCCUAUUACAUAGCAUCAGCAAGGUACAUAAAACACUGACACCAUCCCUUUAAGGCCGAUAGAUAGGUCAUCCCUUUAAGACCUACACACAGUUCACCCCGUAAAAGACAGACAAUAAAGGUCAACCCUGUAAGACCGACAGACAGGUCAUCCCUUUAAGACCGACAGACAGGUCAUCCCUUUAAGACUGACGGGCAGGUCAUCCCUUUAAGACCGACAGGCAGGUCAUCCCUUUAAGACCGACAGACAGGUCAUCCCUUUAAGACUGACGGGCAGGUCAUCCCUUUAAGACCGACGGGCAGGUCAUCCCUUUAAGACCGACGGGCAGGUCAUCCCUUUAAGACCGACGGGCAGGUCAUCCCUUUAAGACCGACAGACAGGUCAUCCCUUUAAGACCGACAGACAGGUCAUCCCUUUAAGACCGACAGACAGGUCAUCCCUUUAAGACCUCAAAUAUAUUUGAAAAACGAGUUAAAAAAUGAUUAUUUACAAAAAUACUUUGCUGUGUAAACUUUUCAUUUUCAUUCCAACCAAAGGUUAGAGUUAGGUACUCUCUACCCCUAACCCUCUAUCCCCCUGUCUACCCCUAACCCCCUAUCCCCCUGUCUACCCC
Molecule: long non-coding RNA, 1926 nt
Filed under: Salmo salar (Atlantic salmon)
Lineage: Eukaryota; Metazoa; Chordata; Actinopteri; Salmoniformes; Salmonidae
Description: lncRNA (ENSSSAG00000120308.1)
Source: RNAcentral